RNAcentral lists this ribosomal RNA (239 nucleotides) under uncultured bacterium. RNAcentral's name for it is "partial 16S ribosomal RNA". It matches the Rfam family "Bacterial small subunit ribosomal RNA", at positions 524 to 762 of the family's 1533-position model. The record is from RNAcentral.
UACGUAGGGGGCAAGCGUUGUCCGGAUUUAUUGGGCGUAAAGAGCGUGUAGGCGGCCUGGAAGGUCAGCUGUGAAAACUCGAGGCUCAACCUCGAGACGUCGGUUGAAACCACCUGGCUAGAGUCCGGAAGAGGAGAGUGGAAUUCCCGGUGUAGCGGUGAAAUGCGCAGAUAUCGGGAAGAACACCCGUGGCGAAGGCGGCUCUCUGGGACGGUACUGACGCUGAGACGCGAAAAGCG